GAGACUGGGAAGAAAGAAUGAUAGGAGAAACUCAACCUGUAUUGUUUGAGGCUAUUUAAUUGCCAGUUUGGUUUGUCCAGGAACAUUGUGUGCCAAGAGUCUACGUUUUCGGGCCUUGAGGCUCCGAACUGAGAUGCCGAGCAGACAAAUGAGGACUGCUGAUACAGGGUGCAGGUUCUGUGCUUUUACUCAUGAACAAGCUGUCCUUAAUGUUGUCUGCUGGGCCAGGCACUGCCUUUGUAAUUAAGGAAUUUAUAAUCUUGAAAGCAG
Molecule: long non-coding RNA, 270 nt
Organism: Meriones unguiculatus (Mongolian gerbil)
Lineage: Eukaryota; Metazoa; Chordata; Mammalia; Rodentia; Muridae
Exons: 3
Source: RefSeq, a predicted model, not a curated record